GUUAGGAAUAUUGGACAAUGGGCGCAAGCCUGAUCCAGCCAUGCCGCGUGAGUGAUGAAGGCCUUCGGGUUGUAAAGCUCUUUAGCCGAUGAUUAUAAUGACUGUAGUCGGAAAAUAAGCCCCGGCUAACUUCGUGCCAGCAGCCGCGGUAAUACGAAGGGGGCGAGCGUUAUUCGGAAUCACUGGGCGUAAAGCGUGCGUAGGCGGCUUUGCAAGUUGGGAGGGAAAGCCCAGGGCUCAACCCUGGAAUUGCUCUCAAAACUGCAAGGCUCGAAUUCGGGAGAGGAUAGCGGAAUUGUCAGUGUAGCAGUGAAAUGCGUAGAUAUUGACAGGAACACCAGUGGCGUAAGCGGCUAUCUGGACCGAUAUUGACGCUGAGGCACGAAAGCGUGGGGAUCAAACAGGAUUAGAAACCCUGGUAGUCC
This 425-nucleotide ribosomal RNA is filed under the name uncultured bacterium. RNAcentral describes it as "partial 16S ribosomal RNA". It matches the Rfam family "Bacterial small subunit ribosomal RNA", at positions 354 to 796 of the family's 1533-position model. The record is from RNAcentral.